UAGUGAUAACAGCUGUGACUGAAAAACGAUCCGUUGGAACGUUGUUCACGAGUUUACGGAUCGGUAAUUCUGCACAUAGUGAAACCGAAAAGAGACCUUUGCUGCGUCCGCUCAUCGAAGUGAUAAAAUUUAUGACGUACGAGUUAUGGUUACUACGGCUACAGAAACAAUAAUUGAAACAAUAAGAAAAUGAUUCGGCAGUGGCGAGCACGAGCGAAGCAUAUAUCGGGAUGAGCGGGCAGCGCGUAGGGCAGAGCGUGGGGCG
Long non-coding RNA from Papilio machaon (common yellow swallowtail), 265 nucleotides. RefSeq lists it as uncharacterized. The transcript has 3 exons. NCBI's taxonomy places the organism in Eukaryota, Metazoa, Arthropoda, Insecta, Lepidoptera, Papilionidae. The record is from RefSeq and is a predicted model, not a curated record.